CAAGGAAUUUUCGGCAAUGGGCGCAAGCCUGACCGAGCAACGCCGCGUGGAGGAUGACGGCUCUUGGGUUGUAAACUCCUUUUGGGGGGGACGAUAAUGACGGUACCCUCCGAAUCAGGCCCGGCUAACUACGUGCCAGCAGCCGCGGUAAUACGUAGGGGCCAAGCGUUGUCCGGAAUUACUGGGCGUAAAGCGUGGGUAGGUGGUCGAUGAUGUGCCGCGUGAAAGCGCCGGAGUAAUGCCGGCGAGGUCGCGGUAGACACGUUGACUAGAGGCUCGCAGAGGAACGUGGAAUUCCCGGUGUAGUGGUGAAAUGCGUAGAUAUCGGGAGGAACACCAGUGGCGCAAGCGGCGUUCUGGGCGAGACCUGACACUGAGCCACGACGGCGUGGGGAGCAAA
This 400-nucleotide ribosomal RNA is filed under the name uncultured bacterium. Its description in RNAcentral is "bacterial SSU rRNA". It matches the Rfam family "Bacterial small subunit ribosomal RNA", at positions 355 to 772 of the family's 1533-position model. The record is from RNAcentral.